AUGCUGGUGCGGACCCUGCACUGGAUGGUGCCGUCAUACGCCAUCUGGGGCUUGCCAUUCUUCCUGUUUUACUCGACACGUUUCUCCCAGCUCUUCUACGAGCGGCCCAACCAGAGCUUCUUCAGAUCCCUCCUCUGCCGCCUCAUGAGCCCACUGCGGGCAGGGGUGUCGAAGUUCAUCGAGUCGUACCUGUUGUGGAAGCUGCCGCUGGGCAAGUACGGUCUGACGCCGGACCACCCCUUUGUCGAGGACUACGCCAGCUGCCAACUGGCCUUCCUCCCGGAGGGCUUCUUCGACAUGGCUGACCACGGCCUGGUGCGCUUCAAGAGGGCCCCCGACGGGUGGUGGCUCUCGGAGAUCGGCGUCGUCCUCGAAGACGGCACCGGGGUGGAGGCCGACCUCGUCUUCCUCGCCACCGGCUUCGAGGGCACGGACAAGCUCCGCGAGGUCCUCCCUAAGCCCUUCCGCGGCCUCCUCGUCGACGAGUCCUCCAUGAUGCCCCUCUACCACGGCACGAUCCACCCGCUGAUCCCGAACAUGGCAUUCGUGGGGUUCGUGGAGAGCGCAUCGAACCUGCACACGUCGGAGCUGCGGUGCCGAUGGCUGGCGGGGCUGCUGGAGGGGCGGUUCGAGCUGCCUACCGUGCAGGCCAUGAUGAGGCACGUCGCCGGCGAGGCCGACGCCAUGCGUCGCACCACGCGGUUCUACCGCCGGCACUGCAUCUCCACCUACAGCAUCCACGACAGCGACGGCAUGUGCGCCGACCUGAGCUCCGCCACGCACCGCAAGACCAACUGGAUCUCCGAGCUCUUCGCUCCAUACAACAAGGAGGACUACAAGCAACAGUAA
This 849-nucleotide ribosomal RNA is filed under the name Triticum aestivum (bread wheat). Its description in RNAcentral is "partial small subunit ribosomal RNA". The record is from RNAcentral. Lineage: Eukaryota; Viridiplantae; Streptophyta; Magnoliopsida; Poales; Poaceae.